GGUCUGGCCACAGAAGAGCAGGAGAGAAAGUGAGUCUUUCGGUCCACGGCUCGAGGCUAGCUACACGGUGUCGAGGAAGCAUCCCGCAGUCACACCUCACAGCCUACAAGCUGUAGGUCUUCUCAUUGGAUUCAGGAAUGGCGUGCCCUUCAUCAGUCCACCUGAAUAGCCGAAUUACCUUGUUAUUCUUUGCUGGAACAUUCUACAAUGAUCCGAAUCCCCGGACCAAAGGUGUGGAAAUCAACCGCAACUUUUCGUACCCAAACGACACAAAAUAUGAAGAUAAAUUACCCAAGAAGGACUGCAGAAUCGGCCACUGAUCCCACAGGUGAUCUCCGUGCACACUUUACAGCGUUCAAAAGAAACGGGGUGAACGCAGAAGCGAUGAGUGCUGUACCCUUCCAGAAGACCCCAGGGACAAUCUCUGUGCAUGAGCCAGUCUGAACAUCGCUCUCUUCGGCAUCGCCCAAAGCUUGAAGAUAUGGAGAGCCUCAUCAAAACAGUGGAACCCGCAGGAGGACCGACAAGGAGGUGAACGCCGAUCCUCUGUAGGGACACACUGCGCAGUAACUUCACUCGUACGAACCAGAAAUCGGCCUCAGAACAACUUCCUGCCAGCAUCCCCUCUUUGCCAUUAAAGGAAACAUUCGCCUAUCAAAGGCAACAAGUCCUUCUGGUCUUUAAGAUAUAGCCACAGUAAUUCAUAAACAAGCUCACCCACAUCAACAUAUGCCUAUUAAUCAAAUAUUUAUGGCCCAUCUAUAAAAAUGAGCAGCCUUGUCUUAAUUAUAGUGAACGCAAGCGUAACUUCAAGGGGAAAUGGAAAAUAAGAGAUUAGAGCAUGACACUAAUUACGAGGCCCUGACUUUAAAUGAACAAUAAAUAAUUUCGAAAAAUGCUAUGCGGCAAAAAUAUUCGCUGUGAUAAGUCUGGCUGGAACG
Molecule: long non-coding RNA, 941 nt
Organism: Scleropages formosus (Asian bonytongue)
Lineage: Eukaryota; Metazoa; Chordata; Actinopteri; Osteoglossiformes; Osteoglossidae
Exons: 3
Source: RefSeq, a predicted model, not a curated record